RNAcentral lists this ribosomal RNA (3789 nucleotides) under Triticum aestivum (bread wheat). Its description in RNAcentral is "partial small subunit ribosomal RNA". The record is from RNAcentral. Lineage: Eukaryota; Viridiplantae; Streptophyta; Magnoliopsida; Poales; Poaceae.
AUGGACGCGACAGCGGAAGCUAGCAGUGGAGAAGGAGCACGCCACGCCCACGGCGGAAAAGAUGACCGGCCGGAGAAGAAGGUUCCAUUGCUCGGCAUGUUCAGGUACGCCGACCGCCUCGACAUGCUGCUCAUGGUGGUCGGCUCGCUCGGGGCGGUGGGCAACGGCGUGUCCGAGCCCCUCAUCUCGGUCCUCUUUGGAGACGUCAUCAACUCCUUCGGCGAGAGCACGACCAGCACUGUCCUCCGUGCUGUCACCAAGGUUGUUCUCAACUUCAUAUAUCUGGGCAUUGGGACAGCAGUUGCUUCCUUUCUUCAGGUGGCAUGCUGGACAAUGGCAGGAGAAAGGCAGUCAGCCCGCAUCCGUUCUUUGUACCUGAAAUCAGUUCUGAGACAAGAUAUUGCAUUCUUCGACACAGAAAUGACAACUGGCGAAGCAGUUUCUAGAAUGUCUAGCGAUACGGUCAUAAUUCAAGAUGCUCUUGGUGAGAAGGCAGGGAAGCUUGUACAACUUACAUCUGCCUUCUUUGGGGGUUUUAUCAUAGCAUUCACAAAAGGCUGGCUCCUGACUCUUGUCAUGCUAACAUCACUACCAUUAGUUGCUAUCGCUGGUGCAGUGUCUGCACAGAUGCUAACCCGGGUUUCUAGCAAGCGUCUAACAUCGUAUAGUGAUGCGGCAAACACAGUUGAACAGACAAUUGGAUCUAUACGAACAGUUGUGUCCUUCAAUGGUGAGAAGAAAGCUAUAGAAAUGUACAAUAAAUUCAUAAAAAGUGCAUACAGGACUGUUGUUGAGGAAGGCCUUGUCAAUGGUUUUGGCAUGGGCUCUGUCUUCUGCAUCUUAUUUAGCAGUUAUGGCCUAGCCUUCUGGUAUGGUGGAAAGCUAAUCAUUGACAAAGGUUAUACCGGAGGGAAGAUCGUCACUGUUUUAUUUGCCGUAUUGAAUGGCGCAACUUCAUUAGGUAAUGCAACACCAUCAAUUUCUGCAAUUGCGGAAGGUCAAUCUGCAGCAUACAGACUGUUUGAAACGAUUGAGAGGAAGCCCGAAAUAGAUUCAGAUGAUACCAGCGGCAUGAUCAUGGAAAAUAUCAAGGGUUAUGUUGAACUAAAGGAUGUGUACUUUCGCUACCCUGCAAGACUUGGGCAGUUAAUAUUAGAUGGAUUGUCAUUACAAGUAGCCAGUGGAACAACAAUGGCCAUAGUUGGAGAGAGUGGAAGUGGCAAGUCAACUGUUAUUAGCCUAGUUGAAAGAUUCUAUGAUCCACAGGCUGGUGAAGUUUUGAUAGAUGGAGUCAACAUCAAGAAUCUGAAUCUUGAUUGGAUAAGAGGGAAGAUCGGCCUUGUUAGCCAAGAACCAUUGUUGUUUAUGACCUCCAUUAAAGAUAACAUAAUCUAUGGUAAAGAAGAUGCAACACUUGAAGAGAUCAAGAGAGCAGCCGAGCUUGCAAAUGCAGCAAACUUCAUCGACAAGUUACCAAAUGGCUACGAUACGUUGGUUGGCCAACGUGGCACUCUGCUUUCCGGAGGACAAAAACAAAGAAUUGCAAUUGCGAGAGCCAUCCUUAAAGAUCCAAAAAUCCUUUUGCUAGAUGAAGCAACAAGUGCAUUGGAUGUGGAAUCUGAGAGGAUAGUCCAGGAGGCACUCAAUAGGAUAAUGGUAGAAAGAACCACACUCGUCGUUGCUCAUCGUUUGAGCACUGUAAGGAAUGUUGACUGCAUCACAGUAGUUCAUCAAGGGAAAAUAGUUGAACAAGGUACUCAUCAUGCAUUAGUGAAGGAUCCCAAUGGAGCUUACUCCCAGCUUAUUAGGCUACAAGAAACUCGUGGUGAUGAAAGACGUAAAAUACAGGAUUCUGGAGUGCCCAAUUCCUUAUCAAAAAGCACUAGUUUGUCAAUUAGACGGUCAAUGACUAAAGAUUCUUUUGGCAAUAGCAACAGAUACUCCUUCAAGAACCCCUUAGGAUUAUCAGUUGAGUUGCAUGAGGAUGAAAUCACAGGUGAACAGAACAAAGACGACCUUUCCAAUGGGAAGACCCUUCAGAAAGCACCAAUUGGACGUCUUUUUUAUCUUAACAAGCCGGAGGUACCAUUUCUUCUGCUCGGUGCUAUAGCAGCAUCGGUGCAUGGAGUCAUUUUCCCAUUGUUUGGCAUACUAAUGUCUGGCGUUAUAAAAGCAUUCUACGAGCCACCAGAUAAGCUGCGGAAAGAUUCUAGCUUUUGGGCAUUGAUAUCUGUAGUUCUGGGGUUUGCAUCUUUCAUUGCAAUCCCAGCAGAAUACCUUUUGUUUGGAAUUGCUGGUGGCAAGCUUAUAGAGCGUGUUCGUACUCUGUCAUUUCAAAAUAUUGUGCAUCAGGAAGUUGCUUGGUUCGAUAAUCCCUCAAAUUCCAGUGGUGCACUUGGUACACGACUCUCAGUUGAUGCAUUAAAUGUUCGGCGCUUAGUAGGAGAUAACCUGGGCCUUAUAGUGCAGUCUACAGCUGCACUGAUCACUGGCUUUGUCAUAGCAUUUACAGCGGACUGGAGGCUUGCACUGAUUAUCACUUGUGUCAUUCCUUUAGUGGGUGCACAAGGUUAUGCUCAAGUGAAGUUCUUGAAAGGGUUUAGUGAAGAAGCUAAGGAGAUGUAUGAAGAUGCAAGUCAAGUUGCAACUGAUGCUGUUGGCAGUAUCAGAACUAUAGCAUCUUUCUGUGCAGAGAAAAGAGUGGUUACAACGUAUAACAAGAAAUGUGAAGCUUUAAGGAAACAGGGAAUUCGAAGUGGAAUCGUUGGAGGGCUUGGUUUUGGUUUUUCAUUCUUAGUGUUGUAUCUUACAUAUGCUCUAUGUUUCUAUGUUGGUGCACAGUUUGUACGUCAGGGAAAAACUACUUUUGCAGAUGUUUUCAAAGUUUUCUUUGCCUUGGUUUUGGCAGCUGUUGGGGUUUCGCAGGCAAGUGCAUUGGCAUCUAAUGCAACAAAGGCAAGGGAUUCAGCCAUUUCUGUUUUCAGUAUUCUAGACAGGAAGUCGAAAAUUGACACGAGUAACGACGAGGGCCUGGUAUUGGAAAAUGUCACUGGUGACAUUCAUUUCAGUAACGUCAGUUUCAAGUACCCAUCACGCCCUGAUGUCCAAAUAUUCAGUGACUUUACCUUGCACAUUCCUUCCAGAAAGACCAUCGCACUAGUUGGAGAAAGUGGUAGUGGCAAGUCCACUAUAAUUGCUUUACUGGAGCGCUUCUAUGAUCCUGAUUCUGGUAUAAUCUCAGUAGAUGGAGUCGAAAUUAAGAGCUUGAGAAUUAGCUGGUUGAGGGAUCAGAUGGGGCUGGUAGGCCAGGAGCCAGUACUUUUCAAUGACACAAUCCGUGCAAACAUAACAUAUGGGAAACACGGAGAAGUGACAGAGGAAGAAGUCACGGCUGUGGCCAAGGCAGCAAAUGCUCAUGAGUUCAUAUCAAGCUUGCCACAGGGAUACGACACUCUGGUUGGCGAGAAAGGAGUGCAACUAUCUGGUGGACAGAAGCAGAGGGUAGCUAUCGCAAGGGCCAUUAUAAAGGACCCGAAGAUACUACUACUUGAUGAGGCAACCAGUGCCCUGGAUGCAGAAUCGGAGCGCAUCGUUCAAGAUGCAUUGGAUCGAGUCAUGGUGAGCAGGACCACCAUAGUGGUGGCUCACCGCCUCUCCACAAUCAAAGGGGCUGAUAUGAUUGCAGUCCUCAAGGAAGGCAAAAUUGCAGAAAAGGGAAAGCAUGAGGCCCUAAUGGGAAUCAAGGAUGGGGUCUACGCUUCACUAGUAGAACUUCGCUCAAAUUCCUGA